CUUUCUACAGGCUUAACACAUGCAAGUCGAGGGGCAGCAUGAACUUAGCUUGCUAAGUUUGAUGGCGACCGGCGCACGGGUGAGUAACACGUAUCCAACCUGCCGAUGACUCGGGGAUAGCCUUUCGAAAGAAAGAUUAAUACCCGAUGGCAUAGUUCUUCCGCACGGUGGAACUAUUAAAGAAUUUCGGUCAUCGAUGGGGAUGCGUUCCAUUAGGUUGUUGGCGGGGUAACGGCCCACCAAGCCUUCGAUGGAUAGGGGUUCUGAGAGGAAGGUCCCCCACAUUGGAACUGAGACACGGUCCAAACUCCUACGGGAGGCAGCAGUGAGGAAUAUUGGUCAAUGGACGAGAGUCUGAACCAGCCAAGUAGCGUGAAGGAUGACUGCCCUAUGGGUUGUAAACUUCUUUUAUACGGGAAUAAAGUGAGGCACGUGUGCCUUUUUGUAUGUACCGUAUGAAUAAGGAUCGGCUAACUCCGUGCCAGCAGCCGCGGUAAUACGGAGGAUCCGAGCGUUAUCCGGAUUUAUUGGGUUUAAAGGGAGCGUAGGCGGACGCUUAAGUCAGUUGUGAAAGUUUGCGGCUCAACCGUAAAAUUGCAGUUGAUACUGGGUGUCUUGAGUACAGUAGAGGCAGGCGGAAUUCGUGGUGUAGCGGUGAAAUGCUUAGAUAUCACGAAGAACUCCGAUUGCGAAGGCAGCUUGCUGGACUGUAACUGACGCUGAUGCUCGAAAGUGUGGGUAUCAAACAGGAUUAGAUACCCUGGUAGUCCACACAGUAAACGAUGAAUACUCGCUGUUUGCGAUAUACAGUAAGCGGCCAAGCGAAAGCGUUAAGCAUUCCACCUGGGGAGUACGCCGGCAACGGUGAAACUCAAAGGAAUUGACGGGGGCCCGCACAAGCGGAGGAACAUGUGGUUUAAUUCGAUGAUACGCGAGGAACCUUACCCGGGCUUGAAUUGCAACUGAAUGAUGUGGAGACAUGUCAGCCGCAAGGCAGUUGUGAAGGUGCUGCAUGGUUGUCGUCAGCUCGUGCCGUGAGGCGUCGGCUUAAGUGCCAUAACGAGCGCAACCCUUAUCGAUAGUUACCAUCAGGUUAUGCUGGGGACUCUGUCGAGACUGCCGUCGUAAGAUGUGAGGAAGGUGGGGAUGACGUCAAAUCAGCACGGCCCUUACGUCCGGGGCUACACACGUGUUACAAUGGGGGGUACAGAAGGCAGCUACACGGCGACGUGAUGCUAAUCCCGAAAGCCUCUCUCAGUUCGGAUUGGAGUCUGCAACCCGACUCCAUGAAGCUGGAUUCGCUAGUAAUCGCGCAUCAGCCACGGCGCGGUGAAUACGUUCCCGGGCCUUGUACACACCGCCCGUCAAGCCAUGAAAGCCGGGGGUACCUGAAGUGCGUAACCGCAAGGAGCGCCCUAGGGUAAAACUGGUGAUUGG
This 1437-nucleotide ribosomal RNA is filed under the name uncultured organism. Its description in RNAcentral is "SSU rRNA". It matches the Rfam family "Bacterial small subunit ribosomal RNA". The record is from RNAcentral.